RNAcentral lists this ribosomal RNA (253 nucleotides) under uncultured bacterium. RNAcentral's name for it is "partial 16S ribosomal RNA". It matches the Rfam family "Bacterial small subunit ribosomal RNA", at positions 524 to 776 of the family's 1533-position model. The record is from RNAcentral.
AACGUAGGAGGCAAGCGUUAUCCGGAGUUACUGGGCGUAAAGGGCGUGCAGGUGGUUCAAUAAGUUGGUUAUGAAAGCUCCUGGCUAAACUGGGAGAGGUUGACCAAGACUGCUGAACUUGAGUGGAUGAGAGGUAAACGGAAUUCCGCGUGUAGUGGUGAAAUGCGUAGAGAUGCGGAGGAACACCAGUGGCGAAGGCGGUUUACUGGCAUCCAACUGACACUGAGACGCGAAAGCAUGGGUAGCGAACGGG